This 483-nucleotide ribosomal RNA is filed under the name Cupriavidus sp. Is-D321. Its description in RNAcentral is "bacterial SSU rRNA". It matches the Rfam family "Bacterial small subunit ribosomal RNA", at positions 353 to 828 of the family's 1533-position model. The record is from RNAcentral. Lineage: Bacteria; Pseudomonadati; Pseudomonadota; Betaproteobacteria; Burkholderiales; Burkholderiaceae.
AGUGGGGAAUUUUGGACAAUGGGGGCAACCCUGAUCCAGCAAUGCCGCGUGUGUGAAGAAGGCCUUCGGGUUGUAAAGCACUUUUGUCCGGAAAGAAAUGGCUCUGGUUAAUACCCGGGGUCGAUGACGGUACCGGAAGAAUAAGCACCGGCUAACUACGUGCCAGCAGCCGCGGUAAUACGUAGGGUGCGAGCGUUAAUCGGAAUUACUGGGCGUAAAGCGUGCGCAGGCGGUUUUGUAAGACAGGCGUGAAAUCCCCGAGCUCAACUUGGGAAUGGCGCUUGUGACUGCAAGGCUAGAGUAUGUCAGAGGGGGGUAGAAUUCCACGUGUAGCAGUGAAAUGCGUAGAGAUGUGGAGGAAUACCGAUGGCGAAGGCAGCCCCCUGGGACGUCACUGACGCUCAUGCACGAAAGCGUGGGGAGCAAACAGGAUUAGAUACCCUGGUAGUCCACGCCCUAAACGAUGUCAACUAGUUGUUGGGG